This 2394-nucleotide ribosomal RNA is filed under the name Triticum aestivum (bread wheat). RNAcentral describes it as "partial small subunit ribosomal RNA". Lineage: Eukaryota; Viridiplantae; Streptophyta; Magnoliopsida; Poales; Poaceae. The record is from RNAcentral.
AUGAAGAGAAAGAGGACUCUGCAUAGUUGGUUUGCAAGUAGUUCAAAUACACUUCCUAAUGAGAGCACAAACCAACCAGCACCACCAACACAAUAUAUAUUAGAAUUUCAUCCAAGUCAGAUUUUUGGUGAUCCGGCGGAUCGAAUACCAAUAGAAGAUUAUGCCCCUGAAAUUCGAAGUGAAGUGAGAAGAGCUUAUUUGUUGAAAGAGCGAAACAAAGCAAGUGGGCAUAAAUUUGAAGUCACAUUGGACGGUAAAAUUUGGAGAUCUUUUCAACCACAAUGGCUAGAUAGGUUUGAUUGGUUGGAAUAUAGUGUCGCAAAGGAGGCUGCCUUUUGCUUCCCUUGUUUUCUUUUCAAGAAACCAUCACAGGCUGCUACAUUUGGAAAUGAUGUAUUUACCAUAGAUGGUUACAAAUGCUGGAAAACAGCUUUGGCAAGUUUUCAAAAACAUGUUGGUGGUCCAUCUAGUUACCACAACAUUGCUAGAGGCUUGUGUGAUGAUUUCAAGAAUCAAAGGGCCAAUGUGGCUACCAAAUUUCGAGCACAUACUAAAGAAUCUGAAAUAAAAUAUAAAAUCCGUUUGACCGCAUCAUUAGAUUGUGCAAGGUAUCUCAUAGCUCAAGGGGAAGCUUUUCGUGGACAUGAUGAGUCCUCCGAUUCCGUAAACAAAGGCUUCAGGCAGUUCUUGGAUUGGUACAAAGACAAGAACAAAGAUGUGAAAGAUGCAUUUGACAAUGGGCAAGGUAAUGCACUUAUGAUAUGUUCACAUAUUCAAAAGGACCUUGCUACAUGUUGUGCUUUGGAGGUAACCAAAGUCAUCAAGAAUGAGCUUGGAGAUAAGAAUUUUGCGAUACUUGUUGAUGAGGCUAGAGAUUGCUCAAUAAAGGAGCAAAUGGCAAUAAUUUUGAGAUUUUUGGAUGAUAAUGGGGAGCUUCAGGAGAGAUUUCUUGCUAUUAAGCACAUCACAGAUUGCACAUCUGCCGGAAUUAAAGAAGCAUUGUUUCAUGUCUUAAAGUACCAUGGCUUGUCUAUUAAUAGGCUACGUGGACAGGGUUAUGAUGGGGCUUCAAACAUGAGAGGAGAAUUCAAUGGUUUGCAAAAGCUAAUUCAUGAUGAGAGUCCAUAUGCUUUCUAUGUUCACUGUUUUGCCCAUCAGUUGCAACUAGUGGUUGUCACAGUGGCUCAAUGUUGUCCGGUUAUUGCUGAUAUUUUCAACUUUCUUCCCUUGAUAGUGACUCAGGUGGGUUCAUCCUGCAAAAGAAAAGAUGCAUUGCUUGCAAAGCAUCAAGAUGACUUGAUAGAGAUGAUGGAGAAUGGUAAGAUAUCAUCUGAAACUGGUUUACAUCAAGAAACUAACCUAGCUAGACCAGGAGUUACUCGUUGGGGCUCACAUCUUAGAACCUUGCUUCGUGUUUACACAAUGUGGAAUGCAGUGGUGGAUGUGCUUGCAAUUGUGAUUGAGGAUGCCCGGGAACACACUUCUCAAGGUGGAGCUUUAGGUUUGUUGGUACAGAUGGAAUGCUUCCAAUUUGUGUUCAUCAUGAUAUUCUUAAUAAACUUGUUGAACAUCACAAAUAUGCUAUCACAAGCUUUGCAAAGGAAGAAUCAAGAUGUUGUUGAAGCCAUGCAAUUGAUCUUGGAUGUGAAAGAAGCUUUGCAAACUAUGAGGGACAAUGGGUAUGAGCCAUUAUGUGAGCAAGCAAAAAACUUUUGUGAGGAACAUGGCAUUGACGUGCCAAAUAUGGAUGAUCUUGUUGGAGCUAUGGGGCAAUCUGCUCGAAGCAAGAAUAAGGUGACUCGAGAUCAUUAUUUCAGGGUGAGCAUAUUCAAUGUUGCGAUUGAUGCAACUCUCACUGAGAUGAACCACCGAUUCAAUGAAGUUAACACCGAGUUAGUGGAUUGCAUGUCUUGUCUUAAUCCAGCUAACAACUUCUCAAAGUUUAAUGAUGAGAAACUUAUUCGGCUUGCUGAAAUUUAUGUUGAAGAUUUUACACAAGCUGAACGGCUGUUGCUAAGAUACGAGCUUCCAACAUUCCUUACAAAUAUUAGGAGAAGUGAGGAAUUUAAUGGAUGUCCGGAUAUUUCUACUCUUGCUCAUUUGAUGAUCCAAACAAUGAAACAUAGAACUUUCCAAUUGGUAUAUCGCCUUAUCGAGUUGACAUUGAUUCUUCCAGUGGCAACUUCGUUGGUUGAGCGAAUAUUUUCAGCAAUGAAGGUCAUCAAAACCGAUUUGCACAAUAAGAUAUCAGAUGAUUGGCUCAAUGAUUUAAUGGUAUGCUACUGUGAGAAAAGGAGAUUUAAAAGUAUUCCAGAUGAUCAAAUUAUGAUACGAUUUCAGAAAAAGAAAAACCGCAAAGGACAUUUGCCUCCUGAGUAUGAUGUUAUUUCUUAG